UACGUAGGGGGCAAGCGUUGUCCGGAAUCAUUGGGCGUAAAGCGCGUGUAGGCGGCCCAGUAAGUCCGCUGUGAAAGCCCAGGGCUCAACCCUGGGAUGCCGGUGGAUACUGUUGGGCUCGAGUCCGGAAGAGGCGAGUGGAAUUCCCGGUGUAGCGGUGAAAUGCGCAGAUAUCAGGAAGAACACCCGUGGCGAAGGCGGCUCUCUGGGACGGUACUGACGCUGAGACGCGAAAGCGUGGGGAGCAAACAGG
This 253-nucleotide ribosomal RNA is filed under the name uncultured bacterium. RNAcentral's name for it is "partial 16S ribosomal RNA". It matches the Rfam family "Bacterial small subunit ribosomal RNA", at positions 524 to 776 of the family's 1533-position model. The record is from RNAcentral.